RNAcentral lists this ribosomal RNA (512 nucleotides) under uncultured bacterium. RNAcentral describes it as "partial 16S ribosomal RNA". It matches the Rfam family "Bacterial small subunit ribosomal RNA", at positions 28 to 507 of the family's 1533-position model. The record is from RNAcentral.
GACGAACGCUGGCGGCGUGCCUAAUACAUGCAAGUCGAGCGAGCGGAACUAACAGAUUUACUUCGGUAAUGACGCUAGGAAAGCGAGCGGCGGAUGGGUGAGUAACACGUGGGGAACCUGCCCCAUAGUCUGGGAUACCACUUGGAAACAGGUGCUAAUACCGGAUAAGAAAGCAGAUCGCAUGAUCAGCUUUUAAAAGGCGGCGUAAGCUGUCGCUAUGGGAUGGCCCCGCGGUGCAUUAGCCAGUUGGUAAGGUAAAGGCUUACCAAGGCGAUGAUGCAUAGCCGAGUCGAGAGACUGAUCGGCCACAUUGGGACUGAGACACGGCCCAAACUCCUACGGGAGGCAGCAGUAGGGAAUCUUCCACAAUGGACGCAAGUCUGAUGGAGCAACGCCGCGUGAGUGAAGAAGGUUUUCGGAUCGUAAAGCUCUGUUGUUGGUGAAGAAGGAUAGAGGUAGUAACUGGCCUUUAUUUGACGGUAAUCAACCAGAAAGUCACGGCUAACUACGUG